AUACGGGGGGUGCAAGCGUUAUUCGGAUUUAUUGGGCGUAAAGAGCGCGUAGGUGGCUUGGUAAGUCAGAUGUGAAAGCCCGGGGCUCAACCCCGGAAGUGCAUUUGAAACUAUCAGGCUUGAGGAUGGGAGAGGGAAGUGGGAUUCCUGGUGUAGAGGUGAAAUUCGUAGAUAUCAGGAGGAACACCGGUGGCGAAGGCGACUUCCUGGACCAAUACUGACGCUGAGGCGCGAAGGCGUGGGGAGCAAACAGGAUUAGAAACCCUAGUAGUCC
This 274-nucleotide ribosomal RNA is filed under the name uncultured bacterium. Its description in RNAcentral is "partial 16S ribosomal RNA". It matches the Rfam family "Bacterial small subunit ribosomal RNA", at positions 523 to 796 of the family's 1533-position model. The record is from RNAcentral.